Molecule: long non-coding RNA, 322 nt
Filed under: Homo sapiens (human)
Lineage: Eukaryota; Metazoa; Chordata; Mammalia; Primates; Hominidae
Description: non-protein coding lnc-GPR141-1:1
Source: RNAcentral
CAGCGAGACCAAGAACCCACCAAUUCCGGACACGAUCUGACUUAUCCUUGUAUGUGCUAAACUCAGUCUCUACCCACAAGUGGAUUUGUAACUGGUUAAUCUGUCCAUUGGGAAUGUUUACUGUGGGCCUACCAUGUACCAGGGACUACACCAUGCUAGGAAGACCUGCAUAGAGUUUACAGCUGGUCCUAGGCGAUGCUGAUGCUGCAGGCCCAAGGAUCACACCUGGAGAAGCAUGGACACCUUGUUGUAAACAGAAGAUCUACUGCUGACCACAAGCUAGCAGCCAUGAGCUAUGGCUGAUGUAAGGAAGGACACAGAA